Molecule: ribosomal RNA, 477 nt
Filed under: uncultured bacterium
Lineage: Bacteria
Description: partial 16S ribosomal RNA
Rfam family: Bacterial small subunit ribosomal RNA
Source: RNAcentral
GACGAACGCUGGCGGCGCGCUUAACACAUGCAAGUCGAGCGAUGAAAUUUCGACAGAUCCCUUCGGGGUGAAGAUGAAAUGGAUUAGCGGCGGACGGGUGAGUAACACGUGAGUAACCUGCCUUUGACAUUGGGAUAGCCUCGGGAAACUGGGAUUAAUACCAAAUGACACUAACUGAUCACAUGAUCAAUUAGUCAAAGAAAUUCGGUCAAAGAUGGACUCGCGGCUGAUUAGCUAGUUGGUGAGGUAACGGCCCACCAAGGCGACGAUCAGUAGCCGGCCUGAGAGGGUGAUCGGCCACAUUGGAACUGAGACACGGUCCAAACUCCUACGGGAGGCAGCAGUGGGGAAUAUUGCACAAUGGGGGAAACCCUGAUGCAGCGACGCCGCGUGAGCGAAGAAGGCCUUCGGGUCGUAAAGCUCUUUUAUGAGGGAAGAUAAUGACGGUACCUCAAGAAAAAGCCCCGGCUAACUACG